RNAcentral lists this ribosomal RNA (253 nucleotides) under uncultured bacterium. RNAcentral's name for it is "partial 16S ribosomal RNA". It matches the Rfam family "Bacterial small subunit ribosomal RNA", at positions 524 to 776 of the family's 1533-position model. The record is from RNAcentral.
UACGUAGGUGGCAAGCGUUAUCCGGAAUUAUUGGGCGUAAAGCGCGCGCAGGUGGUUUCUUAAGUCUGAUGUGAAAGCCCACGGCUCAACCGUGGAGGGUCAUUGGAAACUGGGGAACUUGAGUGCAGAAGAGGAAAGUGGAAUUCCAAGUGUAGCGGUGAAAUGCGUAGAGAUUUGGAGGAACACCAGUGGCGAAGGCGACUUUCUGGUCUGUAACUGACACUGAGGCGCGAAAGCGUGGGGAGCGAACAGG